RNAcentral lists this ribosomal RNA (240 nucleotides) under uncultured bacterium. Its description in RNAcentral is "partial 16S ribosomal RNA". It matches the Rfam family "Bacterial small subunit ribosomal RNA", at positions 94 to 334 of the family's 1533-position model. The record is from RNAcentral.
AGUGGCGGACGGGUGAGUAACGCGUGGGUAACCUGCCUUGUACAGGGGGAUAACAGUUGGAAACGGCUGCUAAUACCGCAUAAGCGCACAGUACCGCAUGGUACCGCGUGAAAAACUCCGGUGGUAUGAGAUGGACCCGCGUCUGAUUAGCUAGUUGGUGGGGUAACGGCCUACCAAGGCGACGAUCAGUAGCCGACCUGAGAGGGUGACCGGCCACACUGGGACUGAGACACGGCCCAG